Molecule: ribosomal RNA, 411 nt
Filed under: Cosmioperla australis
Lineage: Eukaryota; Metazoa; Arthropoda; Insecta; Plecoptera; Eustheniidae
Description: partial 12S ribosomal RNA
Rfam family: Microsporidia small subunit ribosomal RNA (bases 52-411)
Source: RNAcentral
UAAACUACGAUUAGAUACCCUAUUAUUUUAAAUGUAAAUUGAUUGAAGCUUGAGUAGUAUUAGUUAUGGUCUUGAAACUCAAAGAAUUUGGCGGUGUUUUAGUCCUUUCAGAGGAACCUGUCCCGUAAUCGAUAGUCCACGUUUUACCUUACUUAAUUUUGUAAAGUCAGCUUGUAUACCGCCGUCGUCAGAAUGUCCUUUGAGGGGUAGAAUUUUCUAAAUUCUUUAUUAAGAUUGAUGUCAGGUCAAGGUGCAGCUUAUAAUUAAGUGGAGAUGGGUUACAAUAAAUUUAUUUAUACGUAUAAUGAAUUGAAGUUGAAGUUUGUUUGAAGGUGGAUUUGAUUGUAAUUAAUUUAAUUAAACUAAUUUGAUUUUGGCUCUAAAACAUGCACACAUCGCCCGUCGCUCUUA